Long non-coding RNA from Syngnathus acus (greater pipefish), 662 nucleotides. RefSeq lists it as uncharacterized. NCBI's taxonomy places the organism in Eukaryota, Metazoa, Chordata, Actinopteri, Syngnathiformes, Syngnathidae. The record is from RefSeq and is a predicted model, not a curated record. The transcript has 4 exons.
GGCUGAUUUGCUAUCCAAUGAAAAAAUUUACCAAAUGCCAGGUAAAACACUCUCAACGGAUGAAUGAUCCUCCCCUCAGACCUUGGGUAGCAAUAGCGAAAGAUGGUCAGAUCCUGUGCUGCCACUGUACCUGCAUGGCUGGAUUGGGUGAAACAUGUUCACAUUCAGCAGCAUCCCUGUUCGCCCUGGAGACAUGAAUACGUAUGAAGACGGCCACUUCAUGCACAUCACUACCUUGUCAGUGGCUGAAACCAUCAGCAUCGCACAUAGAAUAUGCUGAAGGAUGCAAUAUCGAUUUUGCCCGUCCAGCCCAGAAACGAAAGUCAGAAGUUUCAACUCCUGAGGAAAGUGCUGCGAGAAAACUGCUGAAUGUUCCUCCACCAACUGAAGAGCAGAAAGCUGCCUUUUACAAGGCUUUGUCUGAAUGCGGUGGAAGACCAGCAAUUUUGAGCAUUGUCCCUGACUAUGCUGACAACUUUGUGCCAAGGGCAGUGAAGCGAAAGCUGCCUGUACCUCUCUCACAGCUGUACGAUUCUGGCAAUAUGAAACUCAGCCCAGAUGAACUUGCACUAAAAUGCCGGUCAGAGCUGGAAAAGUUACAUUCCAUUACCAGAGAGCAGAUAUCUGCGGUUGAAGAAGAGUCCAGGGGCCAAGCAACAUCA